GGCCAAAGAUCUUUGGUUUGAAAACCACUUUGUUGGUUGAAGGUAAAACUUUUGAUUUUCAGAAGAGGAUUGGUAACACCUUUUGAAAGAUAACUUGUUUUUAAAUCAUUUCAUAGGUAGAUUUUGGAAUAAACUGGAGUUGAGAAAGGAGUUAGAAUUGCUUUCUUUGUCAAAAGGAAGAACAUCGAGAGAGUUUUGAAAUACUUUUUCCUUCGCAAUAGAGAUGCUUUUGCUAAAGAGGGGACUUUUUCAAUCGAAAGGAGGGGUAAUUUUGAAGACAGGUUUAUUUGUAAGCCAUAAACAGUUUUGAAAUAGAUGGGCAAUACAGGAUGCA
Molecule: long non-coding RNA, 334 nt
Filed under: Sorghum bicolor (sorghum)
Lineage: Eukaryota; Viridiplantae; Streptophyta; Magnoliopsida; Poales; Poaceae
Description: long non-coding RNA (SBIC_LNC009132)
Source: RNAcentral